AUGCACCUGCUACGCUCCUCCAGCGCCCGGACCUCCAAAGCCGGCCUCUCCCCUCUCCUGCUCCCGGCGGCGUGGGCUAUGGACUCAGGGGCACCUCUGAGCCACCCUGCAGAGGUGCACGUGGCCAUUGCCCUCGGGGCCUGCGGGGCGCUCUGGACACUGGGCAUCCUUCUUUUUGUCAUCCUCUUCCUCACAAACAGAGGGAGGGCGGAGCACUUCCUCCAGGGGCAGCCGUGGCUCUGGGAGCUGACGCACGUCGUGGCCUGGAUCUGGGCAUUCCACCUGGGGCUGACUGCGAACCUGGUGUGGGUCUGGCACCGGCUCCAAGGGCUUGACCCCAGCCAGAGGACACACUGGAUAGACAGGCUCUCCUGGACUUCGCUCACAUUCCUGCCCAUCGUCCCCUUUGCCGCGGUGGUCACCGUCAGCGCUGUGCUUCUGAUCAAGGGACAAGUGUCUUUCCAGCUCAGCAUUCGUGCGAAGAGGUGAAACAGGGUCCCCGCUUCCCCUGAUCCAUGCAGGUCACGAUGGGGGUGGGGAGGCAGGGGGGCAGAGGCAGGUAGGGAGUGGAUGGCGCGUUGGGCAGGGCUUCCCACGCAGCUGUCGCGUCUAGACUGCAGAACUGGGAAGAUGUGAGUCCUGAGAAAACUGGGGGCAGAGGAGAACAAAGCGCUGGCUCAGACCUGUCCUGGGAGGAGGCAUCCGGGGGCAGUAAAGCAGAGACAAGUGACCGAGAGAUCCGGGAUGCUGGGAAGACUUAAAGGCCUCUCUCCACUGAGUCCCUCACUUCGCCCCAGAAAUUAAAGGACGGGGCCAAUCACAGCCCCGUUGUCUUGAGUGUAUGUCAUAUUAUUUUUAUUUAUAAGAUAAAUAUUGUUUUACUAGGAAGAAAAUGCCUCUUGUGUUCCUAAUUUUAAGAGGCUCUGCCACCAGGCAGGUGUGGCUACCAGAGCGCGUCCAGAGGUGAGGGGAUGCCCACAGCUCUGCAGUCGGCCUCCUAAGAGGUCCACACGAGCCUUCCUACUGAUGCAGGCUUCCUUAAACCGUGUUCCUCCCAAACUGCCAGGUGCACAGUUCGUGCCUCUGCCCACGCGGCAGCAAACGUGGACACACCUGCACAGGAGAGGAACUAUGUGAUGACAGGCCCCACGCAGGUGUGGCUUCAAGCUGCAGGUCAAAGGCGGUAGAGACGCACGUCUUUGGGGCACCCAGCGAGGGGCGAGGCGGGGCCUGCCCGGCGCUGGCGCCCCUGGAAGCUGACCCGGGGCUGGUCAGUGGGAUGAGACAGAAGGAGCUCACGUGUGGGCUCAGGAACCCAGAGGGAACCCCAGACAGAGAGGCAGUGGACAAGCGACGGCAUCCGAAUGGACGCGACCUUCCGGGGCCUCCAGGAGUGGAGAGAAUCCCAGAGACGCGGGGUUGUGCGGCGCUCUGUCCCCCUGGGGGGGUGACCUUCGCGGGGGGGGGGG
This 1469-nucleotide long non-coding RNA is filed under the name Vulpes vulpes (red fox). Its description in RNAcentral is "lncRNA (ENSVVUG00000022552.1)". Lineage: Eukaryota; Metazoa; Chordata; Mammalia; Carnivora; Canidae. The record is from RNAcentral.